Long non-coding RNA from Cydia splendana, 256 nucleotides. RefSeq lists it as uncharacterized. The transcript has 3 exons. Lineage: Eukaryota; Metazoa; Arthropoda; Insecta; Lepidoptera; Tortricidae. The record is from RefSeq and is a predicted model, not a curated record.
GGUAGGAUCCUAUAGAAGUGCUAUACGCGUGCCUCUGUGAGGGACAAAACAUACGCAAAGCGACAAUAUUAAAAACACGUUUUAACAUUCCUGACAACAUACCAAAAACAAUCUACGUAAUUUGGUCGGGUUAUUUGUUGCCCACCAUAAACCAUACUAAAUUUUUGGUGGGGAACAAACAAAAAACUGUGAUAAGGACAAACAAUAAUAGCGCUUUCUCUGCUACUCUCACUGAAAGAUACGUAAGACUAUCCCG